UAACGUCGGGAAAUCCAGAUGCAGAUUAGCUCCGAACCCGAAUACUCCGACCGCUGCAAGAAUGAUGAUCUGCACGAUACCAAGAACGAACCGCACCAUCAUACCGCCAAGUCCGAACAGCCCCAUUUUCACCGGUGUCAUCCUCAACCGCUUUAGAAGUCCCUUACGUC
RNAcentral lists this unclassified non-coding RNA (170 nucleotides) under uncultured fungus. RNAcentral describes it as "sequence contains ITS1". The record is from RNAcentral. Lineage: Eukaryota; Fungi.